Long non-coding RNA from Eriocheir sinensis (Chinese mitten crab), 2033 nucleotides. RefSeq lists it as uncharacterized. The record is from RefSeq and is a predicted model, not a curated record. NCBI's taxonomy places the organism in Eukaryota, Metazoa, Arthropoda, Malacostraca, Decapoda, Varunidae. The transcript has 2 exons.
UUUUACAGGAAAAGGAAGCAGCUCAAGGGCAACAACAACAGCAAAAAUAAAAGUGUAAAAAAAAAAGCCCGCUAAUCGCUGCUCCAAAAAAGAUAAAAGCAGAGUGGCCACAAGAGAGGUCAGUUUCGGGUGGAGAGGCGUCUUGACACUGACUGAUACUUGCCUGCUGCCGAGCCUGCCGGGAGUAACCACUUUCAUGAAAAAAAUGGCAGAAGAAAUGGCGUAAGAGUGGAUGCUUAAAAGAAAUAACUUUCCCCAUACAAGGCAUUUAUUGGAGCCUCCUAAGGCGCGUGGAGGCACCGCGUCACACAAGGACACCGACACGUUCCACCUCGAUGUGUUCUGACAGGAUUCUUCUCACAGGAAGGAGUCAAGUUCGUAGUGUCUGUCCGGUCUUUGGAAACUAAUUAUCUUAUUUUCUUAUAUAACCGAAUGUUUUUAGCACACACGAUUUCUGGUAACACAUUCCUUUGAUCUCUUAAGUGUCUCUGGCAGGCUGAGUUCUCUCACACUAUUUCCAACGCCUGUUUUUAAAUGUAGUAUUAGAAAAACCCCGUUCACAUUGUGCCGACUCUGGACCACGACUACCCACGACUCUAGGGUACACGAGGUCUUGGGUGUUGAUGUGAAAGGGUCGGGCAUGUCUUGAAAGAGGUCUUGAGACUGCUGUGCCGACGUCGUGACGGGAGCCUGGAGUUGGUCGAAUGUCCCAGACAGUCGGCAAGACACCAAGACCCCAAUACAACCUUUCCCCUCUUCUUGGAGCGUGGGGACCAACUUGUCAAAUGGAAAAGUCGCUGGGUUGUCGUGGCCCAGAGUCGGCACAAUGUGAACGGGGCUUUAAGUAACAAUUAUGUGGCUGAUUUGUCUCUUUUUACCCGUUUUUCGAGGCGUGGUCAGUUGGUUUUGGUGACUGUCUUGCAUCACUUUCCACGACUGACUGUCAACUUUGUAACACGUCGAGUUGUCUGUGAAAUCCAACACUGCAAGUUAACUCCGCCCCCAAAACGUGGCUGAUUUGUCUCUUUUUACCCGUUUUUCGAGGCGUGGUUUGUUGGUUUUGUUGGCUGUCUUGCAUCGCUUUCCACGACUGACUGUCAACUUUGUAACACGUCGAGUAGUCUGUGAAAUACAACACCGCUAAAUCCGCCCCCAAAAACGUGGCUGAUUUGUCUCUUUUUACCCGUUUUUCGAGGUGAGGUUAGUUGGUUUUGGUGACUGUCUUGCAUCGCUUUCCACGACUGACUGUCAACUUUGUAACACGUCGAGUAGUCUGUGAAAUACAACACCGCUAAAUCCGCCCCCAAAAACGUGGCUGAUUUGUCUCUUUUUACCCGUUUUUCGAGGCGUGGUUAGAUGGUUUUGGUGGCUGUCUUGCAUCGCUUUCCACGACUGACUGUCAACUUUGUAACACGUCGAGUUGUCUGUGAAAUCCAACACUGCAAGUUAACUCCGCCCCCAAAAAUGGAACUUCAAAAGCCAAACUAUAACCCCACACUUGUUGUUAAUACUAAUACGACGUUUACUGGAUCUGGCGUCAAUCUUUACUAAUAUAUACUGUUUGUUGUGGCUUCUUGAAGGUGUAAGUACAAGCAAUUCAUCACUGGUAACUUUUUUUUCUCUCUCUUCCUUCGACGCUAUACAAGAUGAUUAUGGUGUGUCUUUUUAUUCUUAUUUUUUGUGUUAAGUUGGUGUGUGUGUGUGUGUGUGUGUGUGUGUGUGUGUGUGUGUGUGUGUGUGUGUGUGUGUGUGUGUGUGUGUGUGUGUGUAGGUUCAGUAAGGGAAUGGAAAGAUGAGGAGAGAAAAGGGAACUGGGAGAGGAAUGAAGAAAAGAGAAGAAGAAGGAGGAGGAGGAGGAGGAAGAGGAAGAGGAAAGAGAGGACCGAGGUAAAAGAUUGAGUAAGGAAAAGAAGGAGAGAGGGAGAAAGAAGGGGUAGAAGGAAGAGGAAUAGAAAGGAAAAAAAGAGUGAAAGAAGAAAAUGAAGGAAAAGGAGGAAGAAAGAGAAAAUAGAGGAAGAUGAAGAUGGAGGGAG